Molecule: ribosomal RNA, 253 nt
Filed under: uncultured bacterium
Lineage: Bacteria
Description: partial 16S ribosomal RNA
Rfam family: Bacterial small subunit ribosomal RNA
Source: RNAcentral
GACGAACCGUGCGAACGUUGUUCGGAUUCACUGGGCUUAAAGGGCGCGUAGGCGGGUGACCAAGUCCGGGGUGAAAUCUUCCGGCCUAACCGGAAAAGUGCCUUGGAUACUGGUCACCUGGAGGGAGGUAGGGGCACGCGGAACUUCCGGUGGAGCGGUGAAAUGCGUAGAUAUCGGAAGGAACGCCGGUGGCGAAAGCGGCGUGCUGGACCUCUUCUGACGCUGAGGCGCGAAAGCCAGGGGAGCAAACGGG